GUGAGGAAUAUUGCGCAAUGGAGGCAACUCUGACGCAGCCAUGCCGCGUGCAGGAAGAAGGCGCUACGCGUUGUAAACUGCUUUUAACCGGGAAGAAACCCCAGGACGUGUCCUGGGUUGACGGUACCGGAGGAAUAAGCACCGGCUAACUUCGUGCCAGCAGCCGCGGUAAUACGAAGGGUGCAAGCGUUAUCCGGAUUCAUUGGGUUUAAAGGGUGCGUAGGCGGAGCGUUAAGUCAGUGGUGAAAUCCUGCAGCUUAACUGUAGACUUGCCAUUGAUACUGGCGCUCUUGAGUGCGCUUGAAGUGGGCGGAAUGUGCCGUGUAGCGGUGAAAUGCUUAGAUAUGGCACAGAACACCAAUUGCGUAGGCAGCUUACUGAGCCGACACUGACGCUGAGGCACGAAAGCGUGGGGAUCGAACAGGAUUAGAUACCCGGGUAGUCC
This 445-nucleotide ribosomal RNA is filed under the name uncultured bacterium. RNAcentral describes it as "partial 16S ribosomal RNA". It matches the Rfam family "Bacterial small subunit ribosomal RNA", at positions 354 to 796 of the family's 1533-position model. The record is from RNAcentral.